Non-coding RNA from Salmo salar (Atlantic salmon), 407 nucleotides. Lineage: Eukaryota; Metazoa; Chordata; Actinopteri; Salmoniformes; Salmonidae. The record is from RefSeq and is a predicted model, not a curated record.
UGAAAGACAAAAAGCAAAAAAACUACAUAGAGAUACUUGACAAGACCAGAUCAUGUUAUGUCAUGCACUCUAUGCAGAUGGUGGAUAAGAGUUGUACUUCUGGGGUUUGCUGAAGGAGAGGUGAAGUGGCUUGGUGAAAGGAAGAAAGCGGUUUGUUUUUUCCGUGUGUUGUGCGCUCAUAUAUACACAGACAAAACUUCAACAUGCACAGACCCACACAUCAGUGAUUCUCUGAGCUCGGUCAAGGCAAUGCAAUUUUACUGUAGGAGGAUGGAAGAGUGUGAGCCACGUUUUCAUCAAAUAUUUACACCUGAACAAUGUGUAUGAAUUGAAGCCAUUAAAGAGAAGCUGAUGGAGGGAGGGAGUGGAGAAGAGGAGGCGGGCUGGUCUAAUAACACACUACCUGG